This 1464-nucleotide long non-coding RNA is filed under the name Vitis vinifera (wine grape). RNAcentral's name for it is "long non-coding RNA (VVIN_LNC004506)". The record is from RNAcentral. Lineage: Eukaryota; Viridiplantae; Streptophyta; Magnoliopsida; Vitales; Vitaceae.
AAAAAAAAAAAAAAAGAAACUUGAAUUUUACAAUAUGUAUAUAUAUAAAGUAAGGAACUUUGCAAACUUACGUAUAAAUGGACAAAAUAGCUCUAAAUAUAGAACUUGGUAUAUUUUUGAGUUAAAAAAAGGAAAAUACUCAAUCCAUUAGGAAAAAAUUGUAUUAAAAAGGAUAAUAAAUUAGAAAACAAGUGAUUCUAAGAAUAAAGCACCACUAUCAGAUCAACCCCCCACACCCCCCUCAAUUUGUCAAUUUGAGUCAGCUGUAGCUCAUGGUCCACCAUGAGGUGGAUACCAAUCAAUAUCAGUGGUUCAAAUGGACUCGGUUGAAUGGCGGAAAGUGCACUCAAUAUCUUUUCCACUUCUACUAUUAUUAAGCUGGAGGACCAACACAUUGUUGACAAACAACGAGAAAUAUGAGUAAUCCGUCUGUCAGUUUCACAUAAUCUCUCAGCCCAAGCGCUCAGCGCUGAUCUACAGAGCAAUGCAUUCAGUAUCUUUGGCAUAGAUGGAUUCCGAGAGCCUAACUCUUCGACCAUUCAGGGUGAGCGAUGUGGAUGACUUAAUACUGUGGGCGGGUGAUGAGCAAGUCACUCGAACCAUCCGAUGGAAGACCAUCACCUCUAAGGAGGAAGCCUUGACCUUCAUCAAAGAAGUCUGCAUCCCCCACCCUUUUUGUCGAUCCAUAUGUAUAGAUGACCGCUCCAUCGGCUUUGUUUAUGUCAUCAGGGCAAGGUUCAAAGUAUCGGCCGAGUCCGGUACGACUCGGCCGAGUCGUAUCCGCCUCGACACCUGCCGCGACGAGACCGAUACCAGAUACGGUAUAAUGCAUGAACUCGACUGGGAAUCGGUUAGACUCGACUGACUUGUCUGAGUUUCCGAGUUAACUCGGUUGACUCGGUUAGGUUACAGAGAAUUUUCAAAUUUUUCAUAAAAUAAAAAAAAAAAAUUAACCAGAGAUUGCCCUUCCAAAAGCAAACACCUAUUCUGAAAUUUUAAACCAUCAAUAAGAAGAUCAAAGAAGAUGAAGAAGAAAAAACCCUAACCGUAACCCAUUCGGAAAUAAGCGGAGAAACCACCGAAGGAUGAGGGCAUGAUUUAUGAUUUACUUACCUGAUUUUCCUCAAAAUCGAGCAUUACCAGAGGGUGGAGCUUUGGUGUCGGCGGUGGUGACUCGUCAAGUGGACUGAAUAUUUCAUCGGCGGCGUCGACAAGACAACCCCUCGCAAUCAGAUUGCUCCCCCUCCCAUGUUAGGAACGGUUAUAAAUUUGCGAUUGCAAGUGGUGUCGUCUGUUGUGGGUCUUGACAGCAUGGUGGUGUGCGAGGGUGGGAGAUUGAGAGCUCUGUUGUGGGUCUUGACAGCAAUGGUGGCGAGGACGGGAGAUUGGGGCUCAAAUUAGUAAAGUAAAAAAGCUACCUUUUAUACGGAUUUACACGGAGAAUUAAGGCCAAUUUACCUGAAA